AUUGAACGCUGGCGGCAUGCCUAACACAUGCAAGUCGAACGGUAACAGGUCCCGUAGCAAUACGGGAUGCUGACGAGUGGCGGACGGGUGAGUAAUGCGUAGGAAUUUACCUCAAAGCGGGGGAUAGCCCGGAGAAAUCCGGAUUAAUACCGCAUGUGCUCUACGGAGGAAAGCGGGCAUCUACUUGUAAGCUCGCACUUUGAGGUAAGCCUACGUCGGAUUAGCUAGUUGGUAGGGUAAAGGCCUACCAAGGCGACGAUCCGUAGCUGGUUUGAGAGGAUGAUCAGCCACACUGGGACUGAGACACGGCCCAGACUCCUACGGGAGGCAGCAGUGGGGAAUAUUGGACAAUGGGCGAAAGCCUGAUCCAGCAAUGCCGCGUGUGUGAAGAAGGCCUGCGGGUUGUAAAGCACUUUUAUCAGGAAAGAAAAUCUCGGGGCUAAUAUCCCCGGGCCUUGACGGUACCUGAUGAAUAAGCACCGGCUAACUCCGUGCCAGCAGCCGCGGUAA
RNAcentral lists this ribosomal RNA (510 nucleotides) under uncultured bacterium. RNAcentral's name for it is "partial 16S ribosomal RNA". It matches the Rfam family "Bacterial small subunit ribosomal RNA", at positions 30 to 523 of the family's 1533-position model. The record is from RNAcentral.